This 261-nucleotide long non-coding RNA is filed under the name Elaeis guineensis (African oil palm). RNAcentral describes it as "long non-coding RNA (EGUI_LNC042339)". Lineage: Eukaryota; Viridiplantae; Streptophyta; Magnoliopsida; Arecales; Arecaceae. The record is from RNAcentral.
GCAUCCUAUCAUAUGGGAUUCAAUUAAAUACUCACAAUCAGCUCACAUGAUUUUAUAAAUUCACUUCAAAGGUUCUUGAUCAAAUCAAGAUAAAUAAAAUCAAAAAAAAAAUUGAUUUAAUCCAAACCAUAAAAGCAUCCAACCAUUGGAGGCCAUUGAAUCAAAUUCAAUUAGAUUCAAAUCAACUGUAGGAGUUGGUUAAAAACUUAUCAUAUAAGCAAACUAAUUACAAGAGAAAUUGGGUUCACCCAGGUGCUAGCA